Molecule: ribosomal RNA, 492 nt
Filed under: uncultured bacterium
Lineage: Bacteria
Description: partial 16S ribosomal RNA
Rfam family: Bacterial small subunit ribosomal RNA
Source: RNAcentral
AGUGAACGCUGGCGGUAGGCCUAACACAAGCAAGUCGAACGGCAGCACAGUAAGAGCUUGCUCUUACGGGUGGCGAGUGGCGGACGGGUGAGGAAUACAUCGGAAUCUACUUUUUCGUGGGGGAUAACGUAGGGAAACUUACGCUAAUACCGCAUACGACCUACGGGUGAAAGCAGGGGAUCUUCGGACCUUGCGCGAUUGAAUGAGCCGAUGUCGGAUUAGCUAGUUGGCGGGGUAAAGGCCCACCAAGGCGACGAUCCGUAGCUGGUCUGAGAGGAUGAUCAGCCACACUGGAACUGAGACACGGUCCAGACUCCUACGGGAGGUAGCAGUGGGGAAUAUUGGACAAUGGGCGCAAGCCUGAUCUAGCCAUACCGCGUGGGUGAAGAAGGCCUUCGGGUUGUAAAGCCCUUUUGUUGGGAAAGAAAAGCAGCAGGUUAAUACCCCGCUGUUCUGACGGUACCCAAAGAAUAAGCACCGGCUAACUUCGUG